AUCACUUCUCGGCCUUUUGGCUAAGAUCAAGUGUAGUAAAAUAUUUCUUUCAAUUAAUUUCCUUUCAAUGUGCAUGAAUUUGUGCACUUGGCUAUUAGUGUUAUUAUAAAGUAAACAAUAAGAAGAGGGAAAAUUCUU
This is a non-coding RNA of Myotis brandtii (Brandt's bat), 138 nucleotides long. NCBI's taxonomy places the organism in Eukaryota, Metazoa, Chordata, Mammalia, Chiroptera, Vespertilionidae. The record is from Rfam.